RNAcentral lists this ribosomal RNA (445 nucleotides) under uncultured bacterium. Its description in RNAcentral is "partial 16S ribosomal RNA". It matches the Rfam family "Bacterial small subunit ribosomal RNA", at positions 354 to 796 of the family's 1533-position model. The record is from RNAcentral.
GUGAGGAAUAUUGGUCAAUGGGCGGGAGCCUGAACCAGCCAAGUCGCGUGAAGGAAGAAGGAUCUAUGGUUCGUAAACUUCUUUUGCAGGGGAAUAAAGUGCAGGACGUGUCCUGUUUUGUAUGUACCCUGAGAAUAAGGAUCGGCUAACUCCGUGCCAGCAGCCGCGGUAAUACGGAGGAUCCGAGCGUUAUCCGGAUUUAUUGGGUUUAAAGGGUGCGUAGGUGGUUUGAUAAGUCAGCGGUGAAAGUUUGCAGCUUAACUGUAAAAAUGCCGUUGAAACUGUCGGACUUGAGUGUAAAUGAGGUAGGAGGAAUGAGACAAGUAGCGGUGAAAUGCAGAGAUAUCACGCAGAACUCCGAUUGCGAAGGCAGCUUACUAAGCUACAACUGACACUGAAGCACGAAAGCGUGGGGAUCAAACAGGAUUAGAAACCCUAGUAGUCC